GCCUGACGCAGCAACGCCGCGUGCGGGAUGACGGCUUCGGGUUGUAAACCGCUUUUCUGCGUGAAGAGGAAGGACGGUAGCGCAGGAAUAAGUCUCGGCUAACUACGUGCCAGCAGCCGCGGUAAAACGUAGGAGGCGAGCGUUAUCCGGAUUUACUGGGUGUAAAGCGCGUGCAGGCGGUUCUGUAAGUCGUGUGUGAAAGCGCUCAGGCUCAACCGGGCGAGGACAUGCGAAACUGCAGGACUUGAGGUAGGUAGAGGUCUGUGGAAUUCCGGGUGUAGUGGUGAAAUGCGUAGAGAUCCGGAGGAACACCAGUGGCGAAGGCGACAGACUGGACCUGACCUGACGCUAAGACGCGAAAGCAUGGGUAGCGAACGGGAUUAGAAACCCCGGUAGUCCAUGCCGUAAACGAUAUCUACUAAGUGUUGCGGGGUAGAACCUGCAGUGCUGCAGCCAACGUGAUAAGUAGACCACCUGGGGAGUACGGUCGCAAGGCUA
Molecule: ribosomal RNA, 498 nt
Filed under: uncultured Chloroflexota bacterium
Lineage: Bacteria; Bacillati; Chloroflexota
Description: bacterial SSU rRNA
Rfam family: Bacterial small subunit ribosomal RNA
Source: RNAcentral